Molecule: ribosomal RNA, 301 nt
Filed under: uncultured bacterium
Lineage: Bacteria
Description: partial 16S ribosomal RNA
Rfam family: Bacterial small subunit ribosomal RNA
Source: RNAcentral
CAGUAGCCGCGGUAAUACGUAGGGUGCGAGCGUUAAUCGGAAUUACUGGGCGUAAAGCGUGCGCAGGCGGCUUUGCAGGACAGAUGUGAAAUCCCCGGGCUCAACCUGGGAACUGCAUUUGUGACUGCGAGGCUAGAGUGCGGCAGAGGGAGAUGGAAUUCCGCGUGUAGCAGUGAAAUGCGUAGAUAUGCGGAGGAACACCGAUGGCGAAGGCAAUCUCCUGGGCCUGCACUGACGCUCAUGCACGAAAGCGUGGGGAGCAAACAGGAUUAGAUACCCCUGUAGUCCCUGUCUCUUAUAC